GACCUCGGUAGCUUAGUUGGAAAAGCAAAAGGGCGUACGUGAACAAUUAAGACCUGGGUUCGUAUCCCAGUCGAGUUCCA
Non-coding RNA from Henosepilachna vigintioctopunctata, 80 nucleotides. The record is from the annotation of a GenBank genome assembly. Lineage: Eukaryota; Metazoa; Arthropoda; Insecta; Coleoptera; Coccinellidae.